This 472-nucleotide ribosomal RNA is filed under the name uncultured bacterium. Its description in RNAcentral is "SSU rRNA". It matches the Rfam family "Bacterial small subunit ribosomal RNA", at positions 26 to 518 of the family's 1533-position model. The record is from RNAcentral.
AGGACGAACGCUGGCGGCGUGCUUAACACAUGCAAGUCGAGCGGAAAGGCCCUUCGGGGUACUCGAGCGGCGAACGGGUGAGUAACACGUGAGCAACCUGCCCUUAGCUCUGGGAUAGCUCCGGGAAACCGGAAUUAAUACCGGAUACGACCUAGGCCGACAUCGGCCAUGGUGGAAAGUUUUUCGGCUAGGGAUGGACUCGCGGCCUAUCAGCUAGUUGGUGGGGUAAAGGCCUACCAAGGCGACGACGGGUAGCCGGCCUGAGAGGGCGACCGGCCACACUGGGACUGAGACACGGCCCAGACUCCUACGGGAGGCAGCAGUGGGGAAUCUUGCGCAAUGGGCGAAAGCCUGACGCAGCGACGCCGCGUGGGGGAUGAAGGCCUUCGGGUUGUAACCCCUUUCAGCAGGACGAAGCGAAAGUGACGGUACCUGCAGAAGAAGCGCCGGCUAACUACGUGCCAGCAGCCGC